AUGCCACAGGGUGUUACGCAUAGAGGUUGCACAAGUCGUUUAGAAAUUAGAAGAGCGUUGUGUGCUUCCUGUGCAGAUCUGGAACUGGUGAGGCUCUUAGUGACCCUCAGCUCCUGCCAGCCACAUCUGGGUCACCUGCUUGACCUUCUGCCUGCAGAGGUUUCUACACUGUUCUCACAAACACUCAGACAGUCUGACAGAUGCUCCUGGAAAGCUGGGCCUGGUGGGAAGACCCUCUUUGUCUCCACAUCAGACAGCAAGAAGAUCUCUACCUGGCAGAGCUCCCCCAGGAGGUGCCUCCUCUGUUGCCCCCCUGAAAGAAGCCUUCCUGCUUCUGCAAGAAAUAGUUCCAGGUGUGUGAGUCUACCUCCAGCAACAGGAAAGUAGAGGAGCAAACUCCUAAAUGAGACAAUAUUGCUCAAGCCUGCUUUUAAAUGCAUGCAAGAACACGAUGAUGACCGGCACGUCUUUGACGCGUGCAUUCACAUUGCACUGGCACACUCAAGCCUUGGUCUUCUUCUCCGAGUUCUCUUUUUAAGUAAUGCUUUUCCAUCAGUACCACUGAAUGCUUUUGUUACUUCCCACAGAUGACACUUCUUCCUCUGGAUAGUUACUCAGAGGCUGGGUCCCAAGAGAAAGAGGGAAAAAUCUAACCUGGGUAAUUGUGCAGAGUGAGGGAACGUGUCCCAUGUGUCACCCAUGCUGCUCCGCACCUCUGUCAGCAUGCAAAGCUGCACACCAGUCGGCACAUACACAUCUUUUCACCUGGGCUACCAGGCUUCACCUAAAAGACAGCAAAACAUCAAAUCUCACUGCCUAACACUGACACAGCUCAGCCUUCAUAGUUUAAGAAACUGGAGUCAACACCUAACCCUUUCAUUCUAACUGAAAAUAACCUCUCUGAGAAACUGUGAUGCAAUUUAGGAAGAAAUUCCCCAUAUUUGGCAACAAACUUGCCUCAUUCCAGAAACCUUAAAUCACACUGCCUAACCACAGGCAUACUUUUGAUCUGAACAUUAACUCUUUUUCUUUCAUUAAAGGAAAUAUAAUCAUUUCUGCUGAUUUCCAUGUCUGAGAAGAGACAGGAGGACCCAGCUGGGAAUUUCAACUUUUUGUCUGAUUCAUUCCUUUGCCUAAUUUCCCAUCUUCCUAAAUAAACAUCCUUCAUCCUAGAUGUGAAAAGAAAUG
Molecule: long non-coding RNA, 1188 nt
Filed under: Anas platyrhynchos platyrhynchos (common mallard)
Lineage: Eukaryota; Metazoa; Chordata; Aves; Anseriformes; Anatidae
Description: lncRNA (ENSAPLG00000027419.1)
Source: RNAcentral